UAUUGAGAAGACAAUGGUGAUGAUGUUAUCUUCUUCCUCUACUUUCUCACUUCUUCACCCAAACCCACUUCUUCCUUUUCACUAUUCUCUCUCUUUUUCUUCCAAAAAUCUCACCUUUUCACAUAUCAAACCCUCUUCUCUUACCCUCUCAGCUUCUUCUAUUGAUUCACCACUUGUUGCACAACCACAACAAGAUGAGUCACUUCUAAAUGAAUCUGAAUCCAUUCCUCAGGUUUACUCUUUCUUUUCCUUUUUCUACAAUUCAUUAUGUAUCUAUGUAUGUAUGUUCUUGUAAUUCCAGUUACAAUACUCAAAAGGGGUGGAAUAUUUCUGGAUAAUAUGUUGCAUUUAAUAAAUACAAAUUUCCAAGAUUUAUUUUUUAUGUGAACCCUCAUUUUGGCCCUGAAAUUUGAAGUACUGGUCAUGUUAUUUGUUGAUUUUAGGAAAUUAUCAUAUUAAUCCUUGAGUUAUAGUAGUUUAGUUCUUAAUAUCAAUAGUCAUUCAUUCAAAUUUAUUAGGACUCAUUUGACUGAGAUAUUACAAAUUCAGUGACUAAUUUAUAGGUUUACUUAAGUUAGAGACUAAUAUCUCCCAACACUUAAAUUUAAGGGACUGAUAUGUUGAUUUACUUAGUCAAGAUGCAUGCCAAAUCAUUCUCUAAAAAUGAUUUGGCAUGGAUAUUGACUCUAUGGACGAGUCCGAGUCGUUUCCGGUUCCAUCACUUUAUUAAAGCUUACACUUCUUGGAUGUUGCUGAAUUUUGUGUACCUAGUUUUUCCUGGCUGUGCAUAGCAUUACUCCAUAUUUUAUUUUGAAAUGCCUUUUUUUCGAUCUCUAAUUUAAGCUGAAAAAUAUUAUGCUCAUGUAUCUUUUUGUUGGUUUUACUGUUAGAAGCUUGGCGUGGUUGUGAAGCCAAAUGACAAGCCAAGGCUUGUGUUGAAGUUCAUUUGGAUGGAGAAGAACAUUGGCAUUGCACUUGACCAAAUGAUACCGGGUCAUGGCACGAUUCCCUUGAGUCCUUACUACUUUUGGCCUAGGAAAGAUGCUUGGGAGGAGCUUAGGGAGUUACUCGAGAGCAAGCCUUGGAUAUCUCAGAAGCAGAUGAUUAUUCUCCUGAAUCAAGCUACCGAUAUCAUCAACUUGUGGCAGCAGAGUGGUGGUAACUUGGUGUAACCUUGAAUGUAGUAUAUUUCGAAUCUUUUUUUCUAUUUAAUGUUUUGUGUCAAUAGGAUGUUACCAUUUUAAUGUUAUGGAUGUUCUGGUACAUUGCCUUGUGUUGCAGCCGAGCUCGUUUUAUUACAAUGUAUGUGAGACAAGUGCCCAAUUCUUUUAUGAAUCAUUACUGUGUUAGUUUAUCGCAGUUUUAUCUCCGAACUUGCUGAGUAAUAAAAGCUUGGUUGCGAACCAUGCUGGUGAUCGUGUCACUGCUUAAUCUCACUGUUAAUUAUUUUGAAAUAGUGAGACCACUGGCCGAGAAACAUAAGACGCAAUUGUAUAUGGUAAUCAGUUGCAUUUCGAGAAAACGAUAUCACAAAUUUUGAAAUAUCUAGAACCGCCUGAUCUUGAGUAAGAUAAUAAGGACAUAAGAGUAUGAUGUUCUUCAGUUUAAUUACCAUCUUAUUAGUUGCGAAGGGAAAUUACAUCCUGAUUUUAUUUUUUACUGGCCAUGUUGUGAUUGGAAAAUCGGACUUGUAUAUAUUGUUCACUCUGCAGAUGACUCCAUUCUUCAAUGUACUGCUCAAAUAUUUAAGCACUCCUCAGUAACAUCGUCUUCCGAAUAUGUGUUGAUGAUGCAUAUGUGUCUGCAUUGAAAAAUAUUCUCCACCUGAUCUUUCCAGCACAGGUCUUCUCACUAUAGGAUAUAUAGUUGGAUCAGUUUGAGAUCUCUGUGGAUUAUGUCUUCUAGCUUGGUAAGAAGGGUGAUAUUUCUCUCUUCGCCGAAGUGUUCAUUCUUGCCGAAGUGUAACUCUGUAUUCUCUGAUGUUUGAAUAUUAUCUCUUGGAUUUUGACUUGAUUGAGAUGCAAAUUGUUUUGUGAUUUCUCUGCUUCACUUUCAAGUCCAAUUCUUUAAGAUCAAGAUGGUUGCUUUUUUAAAUAACUUCAUCCUCACCAUGGGAUGCACAUGCACCUUGUCAAGAGUAGCACUAAGAUUUGAGGUAGCGAAUAAGUUCAUGAGUUCGAGUUGCAGGAAAUUCCCUUUAGGAGGAAUAAAAUACUGUUGGAGCAUUUAAGCUUAAAGAAUAACACACUCAAUAAAUUCAUGGGUCUAGACGAAUAGCAUGUCAAGGCUGGAGUGUUAUGACUUUUAUCCCAAAAGAUUAAGGUUCAAUUCCUGAUAAUAGACUUGUUUAGAGGGACAGUCACAUCCUCCAAAAGAGAUUAGUUCCUUACUCAAAAGAUGAGGAGAUAUCAUUGGUAGUACCAAAUAAAUAAAAGCUUAACCUAUGCAACAACUUAUUAUUCAAAAUCUGACAAUCAACAACUAUUAUUACACAUAAGUUCUUAUUAAAAAAUAUGACAUGUGAUUUGUCUCUUACAGUUACAUCACACAUUUAUCAAUUUAAUAUGGUUUUUUGUUGACGUUUAUUAAUGUCCAGGAUUCAAAACUCUAACCAAGGCAUGUUAUGUUGAUGGACAAAAAAUGUGUGAGAAUCCGAAGGAUUACCAUGUUGUCUAUAUACAUUUGCGCAUUAUGCUAACAAGUAUCAUUACCUUAUCCUGAUAAGCGAAUAGAUUAUUUUCAGGAUUUGAACUCGUGACCUAAUAGUCACUAAACAACAUUCUUAUCAUUGCACCAACCACAACUCUUCAUUCACAUUUCAUUCAAAUCCAAAAAGAUUUUUUGAGAGCUCAUGCUUAGAAACAAAUACAUAUGAAUGCCCAUAAAAGUAACUUUCUAUAUCAUUUGUAUUGAUUUGAAGCAAGUGCUCUUAACAAAGUGGAGAAAAGUGAAGAAAGAUUUCCUCUGUUAUUUCCUAGUUCUUACUCAUCUAAACCAUUUAGCCAUGAAAGAAUAACUUCAGCACCUUUCUCCCAUGAAGUAUCCAACAUCAUGUCAUGAGCAACUGCUUCAACACAUAUUGGUGAUACACCAUAAAAAUCUGCUGUUUCUUUAAGUCCCUGUGCAUCCUAUAACCAACAAAAAGUGGAAAUAAUUCAAUAGACUGAACAGUGUUAUUAGCAAUGUAUUAAAUUGCGGACCACAUCACGUGAUGCAGCCACAAAUUGCAGUUGCGGUGACCGCCGCAACCGCAUCACACUGCAAUUGCAGUGUGAUACCGAAUCACAGUGAUGCGACCACAACAGGCCGCAUCAGGUCGCAACGCAACCGCAUCGGGCCGCAUCAGAUCGCAUCGAUGUGAAAAUUAUGUUUUUACUCACAAAAUAAUCCGCACCACGACGGCCGCAAUCACAGUAACUGCAACUGUGACCACAAUUUAAAACACUGGUUAUUAGAGAAGUGCUAUUGGGCUGAACAGUUUUACAAACACACAUAUAUGUAUAUAUGUGAGGCAACAUAGUGUAAAAGGCUCCAACUUAGUUCUAUCAGAAACGGGUAAAUGUACGCAGCUUAGCUACACUACCAAAAAAGCUAUUUCUAAGAUCCGAAUCGGAGACCUCCGUGUCACAUGGAGGCAGCUUUACAGUUGCACCAAGGAUUACCAUGUUGUCUAUAUACAUUUGCGCAUUAUGCUAACAAGUAUCAUUUACCGGACGAAAAACACAUACCACGAUGAAGUCAUUCUGUGCACCCAAAACAAGAACUUCAAGAGGGCAGUUUGGUACAGAAGGAACUGGAAGUGAUGCAUUCAGCUUUCUUAAGUCAAAUAAUGGCAUCCUUGAACUUUCUUUCAUUAGCUCUUGAUAUCUGAAAUAUGAAAACAACCCUUAAGAACUAUAGUUCAUACUAUUGACAACCAACAUUCCAUGACUCCAACUUUUUCAACAUCAAUGUCUAAAACUUUUACUAAACAAGGGAAACAAAUUCAACAUGUUAAUGAUGAAUUGAUGAAAAUAUUAUGAAAAUGCAUGAAAGCGUCAAGCACGUGCAUCUCUAGAUGAUAAUCAUCAGAUUAUCAUUCAUGCACCAAUUACAAUACAUCUUUGACAAAGGAACUAGAUUAACAUUAGAAAUGAAGUAGGGCUAACUAGAUCUUAAUACCAGCCGGCACAUACCAAAUGCAAGAAGCUUUGGAACAACAACAACCAAGCAUUUACCUCACUAGGUGGAGUCGGCAACAUGGACCGAACGAAACCAUAAUGGUCUAUCGUAAAUCAUCAAGAAGCUUUGGCAAUGAUGGGGAAAUACACAGAAAGUCCAAAGAAUAACUACCCGAAAAGUCAACUUGAAGUUCAACAGGAGUUCGACAUUUUCACUUAUCGGGGUUUAUAAAUCUAGUUUUUAACUAUUUUCAGAGAUAAACAUUCGUUCCCUAUUGACUUCUUUAUUUGAAUUUACUCCAAAUAAAGUUAGAGUCAAAUGAAUCAAUCUCUUUUACUACCAAAAUCACACAUUCUAUAGUUUUGAAGAUCAAUGUGUUAACCUGUCAUGGCUUCAUGUUAGGCCUAUUUGUUAAAAGGAUUUUCUUCCUUUACCCCCACCCCAUUAUUAAGCUCCGGUUACAACUUCAAAUGUUUUGGUACAUAACUUAGAGGACGUUGGGAAGAGCUUAUUUCAACAAGCAUAUUGGAGAAGCUUAUUAGAAAAAAGUUUUUAGCUUAUUUCACAAGAGCUUAUUGAAUAAGCACUUAACUAAGUUGUUUACCUAAGCACGACCUUCAUUCAUUCACACAAUCGAUAGUUUCACUUCCUUGUUCCAUACAAGUAACAACUCGAGAAACAAACCUUUAAAAACAGAUAUUAAAAAAAUUCAAUGGAAGUGCUCUUGCGUUUGAUCCCCGGAAACAAACCUUUUAACAAUAUGAUCUUCCAUUGUGGCCGAGAAAAAUGUCUCCUUACAAAGAGAAAGAGAGGUUUGAAAAGCUUUUGCUGCCAAGCUGCGUGUCACCUGAACGGUCGUGGAUAUAUAUACAUAUAAGAAGGUACAUACAGAAAAAUCGCCUUCUUCAGAAAGGUUAGUACAAAUACCUUGAAGGCUGCAAUCGGAUUGGAAAACAGAUAUCGCCAGACUAGCCCACUAAUAAAUUUUUUAAGAAUUCUCAAUCAGUGUAAGCAAAUGUAAACAUUUCUUAUACAUAUUUCUCUAUCUUUGACAAAUAAAUGAUUUUCACCAAUAAAAAGACAAAUGAUAACACUGGAGAGUUUAUUUAGUUACCUAUUACCAGAAGGAGGCACGGAGCAGACAAGGACAGCUCCUCGAAGCUUCGGGUAUAAAUUUUCUAGUUAUAGAAUAAGUUCAAACAGAAUUAGCAUAACGAAUCGGAAUUAAAAUACUGUAAUGUGAAGUCACAGCCAUCCAUCUAAUAAAAUCUUAAAAUGCAAUAUAUCUGUACUGUAAUAAAAAUUAAUAAUGUGUUGUUUUGGCCCUAUUACUAUAGUGUUUUCGUGCCAAGAUCGAAGUAACCCGGAAUAAUAAUCUGGUCGGAAAAGUUCUAAAACAUGAACCUAUAAUCCAGGAUCCUCUAAUUUAAGCAUUUCAAGUUCAAAAAAACAUGUGAAGAGUAAGUGACAAUCAGAAAGUACCUUUCAGUUUGUCACUCCCUAAAUUGGAAAUAUAAUACUGAAUAAUAAGUCCACCAAACGAGUGCCCGAGCACAAUUGGCGGUGAUGCAAUAUUUCGACUGAUGAAAUCUGCAACAUCUCUUGCGUGCGUCUACUGCACAGUUAGUUACAAAAAAGAAAAGGAAUUAUAAAGACAGUAAUCCAAAUGAAGUUUGUCUUAACUUAUCAAACAAAUAUUGAAAGUUCAUAGAAGAAUAAAACUUAACUAGGAAAGGGAGAGGUACUAUACCUGAAGCGUGCCGGCAACUGAAUCAGAAGGUUCAUCGCUUUCACCCUUCCCGCGCAGAAUACAUGCCAGAGCAGUAUCAGACAAUCAUGCUAACAAUAUGAAAUCACCAAAACUAGAAUAAAAGUGUAGAUAACAGUGAAGGCAUUGCAACAGCAAUUUUUGUUUUGUUUUCCAAACCGAGAACAUCCACAUGUACGUGAGGCUAACUCUCCCGGCGGGCAUUUUUUCCAUCCACAAGACUCGAACCCGAGACCUUGCUUAAGGGGAAUCAUGUACCACUUGAACCAACGUCUCUUGAUAUUGCAAUGACAUUGGGAUGUAUGCAGCCAUAACAACAUACAACACAAGCAUGCAGGUAUAUAUAUAUGUAUAAAUGCACAGUUUGCUCACAUCAGACAAGAGGAGAAUUGAAAAAGUUUAUAAGUAGAAAAAGCUCAUAGAAGUAAUGUCUGAAUGUUUUGGUUUAAAACGGGUUUUCUCAGUUGUGGCUCUCCGAUCUUUCCAUACCCUGAUAACAAAGGAACUCACCAUGUGGUUAUAUAAAGCUCUAAGAAGAGCAACACUAGUCACAAACACAAAUCCUUAUCCUCUCGUAGUUGUUCAACUCUCCCGAUGACGUAGACACAAAUUGCCCGAACACUCCCUACCUAAUAGCUAGUCAAGCAGGAAGUGAAGGAACUAGUUUAUAAAGAGAGAGAGAGAAGUGGGACCCACCUGUCCUAACAAGCUAAGAGCAUAGCAAUCAUACCCAGAAUCUGAAAAGAAAGGUAACCAAUGUUGAGCCCAACACCAAGCAGCAUGAUAACUUCCAUGAACAAACACCAAAGUUUGGUUCUUUUCAACAUUCUUAUGCUUCUUCUUCUUCUUCUUCUGCACUAUCACCUCCAUGCUAAGACCAGAUGGUAACUCAUGGAAAAUACGAGAUUGCCCUUCCUUUAGAUCAAAUGGAACCCUCAUCUUAUUGGUUUUACCACUCAUGACAGCAGAGAAAACAUGGGGCUUCAUGAAAUGGAAAGAACAAGAAGAAACAGAAAUAGACAUUGUCUUUUUUCUUCUUCUUUUUUCAAAGUUUUGAUCUUUGAAGAGGAAUAAUGCAAUACAAAUAUAGAAUUAGAAAGAGGGUUAAGGACAAUAGUGUGGCUGCAGAAACAUAAGAGAAACACAACAACAACAACCUAUUCACACUUUCUACACUGUUUUUUGAUUUUUUUUCUUUUCUUUUUUCCAAUAGUGACUCUUGUGAAGAAAUUGGGUCACGACCGAUAUCGGUCAAGUAACCACAAAUUUUGAAAGUGAUUAUUUUUUUACCAAAAAAGUGAAGAAAUACAUUAGUAAUAUAAAAAUAUUAACCCGAAUAUCUAGUGGUGUAGUAAGGCUUCAUUUGAUCUUAAGUCGACGGUUUGAUUUCUGAGAGCGACAUUUGUUAAGAGAGACGGCCAAUAACCUAAAAAUGAUUAGUUCUUUGCCAAAAAAGUGAAAGAUGUAUUGAUACUACCAAAAAAAGAUCAACCCGAAUAAUAGUUUAUUAAAAAAUUAAAUAAUUUGAAUAGUUGUUUACGACCUAUUCAUAUUAAAAUUCAAUUUUAUAAAAAAGUAAAUAAUUGUGACUGGUUUUUUUGUUGCAUUUUUCACCAAGAUCAUAAAUUAUAAAAUUAUAAAAAAUACAGUUCUCAAAAUACAUAAUUAUUAGCACUUCACAUAAAAUAUUAAAUUCAUACUAGUGUUAAAGUACAUGGAAAUAUAAUACACAUAGAUUUAACAAAAUCCAGAUUCUUUUCUCAUUCAUUAGUUGAACAAUUGAUUAUAAGUUUCAUGAGAAAAAUUUACUCCUUCAAUUUCAAUAUCAAUAUCAUGUCACUCAAUACUAUCUUAUUCAUUAUCAUAUUCUACAAUAAAAGUUUACUAUUUUAAUAAAAUUGAAUGCUUAAUUUAAAGUGUUUAAAAAAGUUGAUAAUAAAUGUGUUAUACAUGGGUCUUUUAAAGUUAAAAUUUCUUAGGAUAAAAAUUAAAUCAACUAAAACAAUUCAAAUUUUUAUUUGGUUUGGUUAUUGUUAUUUUGUACUAAAUAUUGGAUAAUAAAAAAUAUGACUAGUCAAUCAGAACAAAAUAUCUAAUUUCUUAUCCACUUACAAUAAAAAAAAUUCGUGAUGGCUCGAAACCAGACAUGUAAGCUCGGCCGAGGCCUGAAUUUAUUGUUAUAUGGUCAGAUUGGAUUAAAAAGUCUAGUUUAAACAAAAUGUUUGAAAUUUUCGAACUUCAGCGAACUAGUUUUGACAUUCUAAUUUUAUCCUUUCAUUUUUACUUUUUUAUGGACUAUCAUAGGAGGAUUGUGAGUUUUCAUUCUCCUUGUUUCAUAUCAUUAGUAAAAAACUUGCCAUUAGCUUUAUAUAAGUUAGUUUUCAUUAGUAAAAACCUCAACAAUGGUGUAGAAAUGUAAAUAUUGAUAUUUUUUAAUGCAAAAAUGGAAGAAAGUAGGUUUAUACUUUAUGGAACUAAAUAACAUCUCAAAGUUCAUCUAAAUAUAUUCAUAGGACCAUUUCUAUACACAACAUUCUUCCAGUGAUCACAUAAUAAGUUUAGAUGGUGUUCAGAUACAACUGAGCCAACCAUCUUAUUUACAAAAAGAACAUGUUCUUCUAAAUAUCCAACCUUUUCAACAACCGACAAAGAUCGCAUGUCUCUAACGAUGUCUCAUUCUCUGUCCAGACCAAUCAGAAUGCUACAUUCUCUUACUUGUUUUAUUUUUUUUUUUUUUAUUCAUAUGGCAAUAUCUGAUUGGCCCUAGACAAGAAAUGAGAUACUGUUCGGGACGAGUGAUCAUAUGAUUUUGCUCAGUUCCCUUCAACUACUCUAAAAGAUAGAUACCAUACCAAAAACAUUGCAUACUCUAUAUACACCACUUUUACAAGCUCCUUCUAUAUACACUUUCUGAAUGGAGUUUAAGCAACAGAGGGGAUGCUGGAAUUCUUGUGAUCCCUACUGAUGCAAUCAAAUCCUUCUACUCUAACUGCAGCCGGUUUCGGUCCAUACUUUGUUCUAGCACAUCCUGCUUUAUGAGAUGCUGAAGUUGGAGAUAGUAAACAUAAUGGUGAAGAAAUACUUGACAUAGGAGUGUGUUGUUCAUCCCUAAAUCGAGCAUCGUUGAUCAAGGGAUUACCAGCCCGGACCGGAGGAGACCCGAAAAAAUAUGGGGGAGAUGAGACCAACUGAUUUGCAUAUUCUUCCUCAUAAGUCUCCUGUUGAAACCAAGAUGAAAAUUAAUCAACCAAAGAUAAAGACAAAUAACAGUCAUUACCGCGAAAUAAGUACACACAAUGCUAAUUGUAUGCAGAUCCAUUCACAGAAACUAUAAAAUUUGGAAAAACUAUGUCUAGGUCCAAAAGCAUUCCAGUAGAAAAGUGGACAUAUGAAGAUACUAACAUCGUACCACGGUAAAUACCACAAACACUGCUCAUAAAAAUCAAUAUCUAAAAGAAUUAAGAGUUUGUUUGGUUUGUGGAAACGUUUUCAAAUUUCAUAAUUAUAACAGUGACCCGUGUUUUCAUUCUAUUUCCGGUUGUAAUUGUGACUCCACGUUUUCACUAUGUUUCUUGUUUUCAAUGUGAAAUGGUGAAAUACAUACACCACUUACCUUCUUUAGAAUAAUGUCUAGUAGCUCUGCCCCAGCUUUUGAAUCAGACUCCUCAACUUGUUGGCUGAUAAACAAAACCAAAACACAGAACAGAUCAGACUCUCGUUACAUUCUAAAAGUCGGAAAUGCCAUCAAAAGGGGAUCGAUUUACUGUAAGAGUUACCUAAAAUGCCAUCUUAAGGGCCGAAUAGACAUGUUUGUUAAAACCCCGACUCUGCAUGGCUUAGGGCAAAUGACAGGGCCAUUCUGAUUAGUAAUGGGAAGAGAGCCUUUCAUCCCUUCACAGGCUCCGAAGGCAUUCUUCUGAAGAUCAUAAUAAUUCAUCUUGAAAAGCAGUUUAAUUCCACUGUAUAACACCAAAACAAUGAAAAUUAACAAAAAAAUAUUCAGGAAAUGUAAAUAACAUAUAAUGAAAGAUGAAACUUGAUUUUAUUCACAGGAACCCCAAUUAUUUAUAAAGGGGAUGGGAGCGUAUUAUCCGAGAUCAUAAAAUCACAGCUCAAUUUUCCAACAGAUCCAUUUACCCUGCUCAAUUCAAUGACUUAAUGCCUAGGAAACACGGAUAGUCGGAUACGACAACAUGGGACACAGACACGACAAAGACACAGACACGACAAAGACACAGAUACGGUCAAUUUUCAAAAUUACAAGACUGGACGUGGCGAUGAGACAAGGUAAGACAUUAAUGUAAACUUAAUGCAAAAGUACAACUCAUUAAUUAAAAGAGAGAAGUAAUGUUGUAAAAAUUAGUAUGACUUUUGUAAAUGUUAUAAAAUGUUAACUUUAUGUAAUUAUUAUUGUGACAUUUCGAUCUAUAUCAACAACAAAGCCUUAACCCCACCAGGUGAGGUCGACUACAUGGAUAUCGAACAACGACACCACACCACUCGAUCAUUAAUCAGUUCAUUGUCAAAGUCAUAGAAUACAAUUUUGAGUGGUGACAUGCACACCCCAACAACUAUGAAGUUUCACAUGAUUCAUAGGUUAAUGCAUGAAAAUGGGAAACCUAAACUUGAGAAAGAAAAUCAAAAUCCCAAUUCACUAUUUUCCAAUUUUUUAUGACAUACAUAAAAAAUGUUAGAAUCAUUUUCACAAUUCAACAACAUAUCUGAGUUCAACCCAUGAAAAAGUUUCAAUCUUUCUCUUCUCUUUCUUCUGGGUGUCUCAUCAAAAAGCCAGAAUUAUACCAUAAAAAAAACAAACAUAGAUUUAAAAUCAACAACCCAAAAUCACUAUCUACAUUUUACAAUUAGCUAAGUCACCAGUGACAGAAAAAUUAUUGAACAGAUCUCAAAUCAGAAUUGAAUAUAAAAAAUAAAUAACAAAAUUAGAAGAAAUUGAGUAAAGUAAAGAAGAACACAUCAAAGUAAAAAAAAACAUGUUAGAAUUUCAGUACUAGGAAACAACAGAACAAGAGAGAGAGAGAGAGAGAGAGAAACCUUUGGGUAUGUUCCAAACAAAGAAGAGGAAAAAAGACAGCGCCAUGAAAGUGGAACCUAUUUAUAGUACAGAAAAAUGUGUCUAGGGUGUUAGAAAAAAAGGGGCUAUACGGCGUCGUUUUGACAGAAUAAAUUAUUAAAUAAUGAUAUGAGAUAUUAUAAGAUUUUCCCUCUUUUGUAUAAAAAUGCAGAAUCUUAAUUCACCAAUGACUAGAUUAGGUAAAAUUAUAUAUGCUUAAGAGAUAAAAAGUUUUGAUUUUUUGGUCAAUCACACUAUUAUGGAUUUGAUUUCAUUCUAUCCAAAUCUUAAAUUUGUUUUAUUUUUGUCAAAGUUUUAAUUUUCUAGUCAAUCAUACUAUUAUGGAUUUGAUUUAGAGUGAAAACAUAUUUUAAUCUCUUAAAUUUUUUUGUUUAUAUCAAUUUGAUUUCUAAAAAUUGAUAAAACAUAUAAUAGUCUAAAAAAGAUUAAUCAUAUAUCAAAAUUAUUCUUUUUAACAUUUCUAUAUUCCUAAUUGAAUUUUGACUGACAUUUAUAAUCUUUUAUAUUAAUUUGAAUUUUUAUUUUUAUUUUUUGAAAUCAAAUUUGUAUACACAAAAAAUCAUAUGAUACCAAAGUACUAAUAUUAACCGAAUAAUAUUAUAAACCAAUUAUUAAUAAAUAAAUUAUUACAAUAUGUUAUUUUUUAUAGGUAAGUGAGAGCAAUGGAUGUUGUUCAAGUGGUAAAUUAUUACAAUAUUUGUGAAAUAUUCUCGACUCGAAUAAGAUUAUUAGGACCAAAAACUAUUAGGUAAGUGAGCCUUUACUUGUUUGUCUCCCUCCUCAUUUUCUGUUCUCUUUCACUUCACUUCACUUGGCAAUUGUGUCACUCUUCUUUGUUUAUAUGAAGGAGUGAUCACUGUUGCAGAAUCUGGUUUUGCUUCAGCCAUGUCUUUCUCUUCUUCCUUUUACCAUUCUCCAUUAUCCAUUAAGGUUCCCUUUCUUUCUUAUCCACUCCCUCUUUCAUUUCCUCUUAUAAAUGCAACUUUUUUAUUUUAUCUUUUUGUUUUCAUUCUUUUUUCUUUGCUAAGCUUUUUGGUACUCCUACUCACUCUUUUGCUCAAUGGGCUUUCCCUUUUAACUUUAAAGUUUUCAACUUUGUUUGAAAUUUUCCUUCUUCUAUACAUUUAUAUCACAGUAUCAAUAACACAAUUACUGAUAAAAUGGGCAUUUGUGUCACAUUUUCUGCUAAAUUUGUUAGAUUUGGCAUUUGAGUAAAGACCCUGUUAAAAUGACAAAUUCUAUUUUGAUUUGUAAAAUUUGCAAAUAACAGAAAUAUCCUUAAAUUUGUUCCCAAAAUGGUCAAUUUGGCCAACAUUUUGAGAUUUUUAUGGACCAAAUUGUCAUUUUUUUGCUUUUAUGGACCAAAUUGUUAUUUUUUUCCUUUUAGGGACUAAAUUGUAAGGCACACCAUUUUUCAGGGACAAACUCAUGUCUUCAUUCUUUUGAUUUUCUGGCUUCCAAGGUGCAUGUUGUUAUAGUGAUAUUAACAGAGUGUUUAUAUUGCAAAAGGUUGCAUGUGUGUCACCAAAAUCUCUAAAUUCACACACUUAACCCCUUAUGUAGCAAGUACCAACUAUGUGUUUCUUCAUGUAGUCCUUGAAUUGAUCAGUCAUUUAAGAAACUAUAUGCACGGCCUGCUUAUUUCGUACCGAGGACAAAGUUCAAUCAUAAUAAAAAGAGAAAGAUCAAUCAAGUAGUUCAUUUAUUCCUAUGUAUAGAUAACAUGGUGUAUAUUUCUGCUAUCAAGAUUCAAGAAGUUUGCUUACAAUUGAGAUUCUGUUUUUCUGAUAGAUUGAUCACUCGGGACAGGCUAUAAAACCUUGUGCCACAGUUGGGAAAGUACAAAAUUUCCCUUUCUCUAUCAGAAGUAACGGUGCUCAGAUUUGUAAUCAACGCAUUUUGAGAAGUAGAGUCAGCGUAAGAAGAGAUUGGAGUUUCAUAGGAGGAGCUAGAGUUUUUAACCCGAAAGUUACAAGAUUGGUUCAUUAUGCUAAAGGCGGCCGAAUACAUGCUUCAUGUAAUAAUUUCUUUUGCCACAUAUACUAAAUUUUAAACUCAGUUUUAUGAUACAAGGUUCCUUUGUCUUGUUCAAGUCCAAAUUAAUUUAAGCACUCUGCUAAAGUUUGUGGUUUUAUGUUUUUGCACUUAGAUAACAUUUUAUAUCAUCGCGCUUCUCACAGUGGAAACCUGAGGUUCUUUUAUAACUUAUAAGGUCUCUUUAAAUUAAAACUACUUUCAUGGUUUGCUGUAAAUAUGACUCGUGUAAUUGGUCGCUUGGUUCUGAUUGAUAUAGUGUCAUUGAUGCGAGAUUUUUCCUUAUUGAUUCGUUCAUAUCAUUUCUAUACUUUUGUUGACUUGGUAUUACUCACUACAGUCUGGAUUUCCUUCAUUAUUCCGGUUGUGUAUAAAGUUUCACUUUUAAAUGUUGAAUUUCAAAAUUUUCUGCUGUAAUGAAAGAUGUCAUGCUAAUGAGUUAAUCUAUCAUCAUUAGUAAUUCUAUAAAGCAACACAGUGUUGUACAAUAUCAAUAUCGCUUUGGCCCCUUAAUGUUUCAGGGUUCUCGGGACCUCAACUCGCUAGCAGAGUAUUUACGUUCGGAACAGCAGCAGUGCUCCCAUUUUACACACUCAUGGUUCUAGCUCCGAAGUCUGAGUUAGUAUGUUUCUUUCUUAUUGUAUUUGGAUAAAUUUAUGAUUACGGUUCAUUAAAAAACUUUAGUUCAUGAUAAUGUCUUUUCAUUAAUACACACUACACAAAUAAUAUGGUAUGUUUAUGUUUGGUAAAUUCUUUAUUCUUCCUUCACAUACCAUUUAUUGAGUUUAUUCUGUAAUCUAUGUGCCUAAUUCAUUUUUCUUAAAUGCAAGAAUGCAGACUAAGAAGUCUAUGGAAAGUAGUAUACCAUAUUUAGUGCUUGGUGUUCUAUAUGCAUAUUUAUUGUACCUUUCUUGGACCCCGGAGACUUUCCGACUGAUUUUUGCGAGUAAAUACUUGCUACCAGAGGUGUGUUUUCGUCAACAAUGUUAAGUUUCCAUUUCCGAAAGGUUUCUAUCCAAGUGGUAACUAUGCUAUCUUGUAUAUUUGGUGCAGCUGAGUAGUAUAGGAAAAAUGUUCUCUAGUGAGUUGACUUUGGCUUCUGCAUGGAUUCACCUGUUGGUUGUUGAUCUUUUUUCUGCAAGGUCCUGCAUUUUAUUUUGCCGUUUUCUUCCUUAGUAUUGCUUUCUUAUUGUUUCAUUACUCUUAUGAUAGCAAUGUUUACAACAAACUCUCUAAGACACUCUUCAACAAACUCGCUUUAUCGGCAAUCCCGUGUGAGGUCUACUAAAUAGAGGGUGGACUCAUGUAAUUUAGCGGGUUCCACAUAAAAUCUGCCGAAUAAUAGUUCAAAAGUGUGUUGCUAGAACUUCUCAUUCUUCUAAUGGUAUUUAUGGUUAUUGAUUUCAGGCAUGUUUUCCAAGAUGGACUUGAGAACCAUAUCGAGACUCGGCAUUCGGUUUUCUUUUGCUUGUUCUUUUGUCCCAUUGGGAUUCUUACUCAUGUCAUUACCAAAGCAAUGACCAAAACUACAAGAAAAGAGGGUCAUAGUAUAUAGUAGAGGAUUACAUUUGAAGUUUCAGAAUUUGACAGAGAUAUGUUUGAGUUGAAGUAACCUAUGAAUGAAUAUCAUGGCCACUUUUUAUUUGUUGUUUGUAAACUGAUAUCAUCAAAGUUUACACUAGUAACAAAUGAUGUAUAGAUUCUCAAACUAAUAUUGAUUAGAUGAUGAGUUGAAGUAACAAAAUUUGCACCUAUGAAAUAUCAUGAUUGCAUUUACUUAUUUGUUAAUUUUUCAAUAUCAAUGUAAUAGGAAACAAAAGGUGGGUUUUUUAAUCAUCUGAAAUAUUUUUUAUUUGCAAGUUUCCAUUUUAGUUUAAAGAAGUUAACUUAAAACAACUUAUGAGUUUCCAUUUUUAAUGUAUGUAAUAUUUAUGUACUAAUAAUGUACAUAAAUAUUAGUCUGAGUUGCUUUACUUGAUCCAAGCUAUUGCUGACCUUAGGGAGUUGUUGGAGCUUGGGCUCUAGGUAGAAUCAGGUAGUUGUCGGUUUUGGACUAUUUUGGGUGAUUACUUGAAAAGAGAUUCCAACAUUCAAAUCAAUAUUUAUAGGAGUGUGCUUAGAGAGAGAAAGAGUGGUUUAACCUAUUUAUAUUAUAGGGUGAAGUGAAUUGUACUUCAAGGUGAGAUGUCAUUAUUGUAGACGGUGUGACUUUGUCUUUUUAGUAGUCUAUCAGACUAAUGUUGUAGAUUUGAACUACCUCUGCUACGUGAGCAACAUGAGCUUGUCCAGAGCUCAGGUAACAUGUCCUUUGUCUUUGGCGUGAAGGAUAGUUUUUGGGCGUAGCAAACACUGACCUUGUUUUAUUGCUCUCGUCCUUCCCCUUAGUUAGUCUGACCUUCCAGACAUGAUAAACUAUCAUAUUGACUGAAUCUUGUCUAUUUGGAAAUGAUCUGUAUUUAUGUAGACCUGAUCUUGUAUGUUCGGUAAUAGACCUCUGACCAAGAUCUUGAUCACUCAUUUGAUAAAAGUGAUGAAUAUGAUGAUGAACUCCAUGCAUUUUACCAUCUUGAUGAAUGCUACAACAUUGUAAAAGGGUACAAGAAUAUUAAUUCAGACAUGUGGAAAAACAUGAUACAUUGGUUGAUUGAAACACAUUGGAGACUCCAAACUUUGUCACAACAAACUCUCUUUCUUUGUGUCAACAUUCUUCAAAGGUUUCUUUCCAUAACUAGUUACAAAAAGAAGUUUGAGCUUGUUGUUCUAACCUCAUUGAUGAGGGAUUCAAAGCAUGAAGAAGAAGAAAGUCCUCUUUGUGUUUAUGACUUGGAAUACAUGACAUGAUAGAGUUUUCAUCUUCAAUAUAAGACACAACGUCUUUAACCAAAACCUUGAAACAUUAAUUACAUGAACUUUUUCUACUUGUAAACGCUUUCACUUCUCCCCACAACUCAACACUUCCUAAUCCUUAUGUCUUUAUUCAUAUGAACAUGGAAAAGAUGGUGUAUUUCAUAUCUGAACUUAGCGUCACACACUACUCCAUUUUUUCAUAGCUUUAGUGAUAUUUCUUCUAUUAUGUUAAGUUGCAUUUUAAAUUAAGUUCUUAACUAUACACAAUGAUUUUCCAUAAGUGGAAUGGUUAUCUAUCUAUGCAAUUUUUUAAUUAAGCUCUUGAAUUUCCAAUUUGGCUGAGAUGAAGAAAAAAGGCAGAAAGAAAUGGGUGAAAAGCAAUAAUGAAGAAUGUAGAAAAUUCAAGAAAAUGAUAUUUACUAAUUUAACAACUAUAGUUUUAAGGUUCAACACAAAUUAAAAGGUUAAUAUCAAAAGAGACAUUAAGCAUGUAAUCACCAAACACACAAACAUUUCAUCAAACAUUUUAUCUACAACAGAAUAACAGAAAAGUUCUGAUCUUAUACCAAGUAAAAUUGGUCAGUCUAGGAAACCACUUUUUUAUUUACGGCUUCAUAUCAUAAAAACAGUCUCUCUACUUACAGGGCAAGUUAUUUACGGGUUCAUUCCGAACAACAAUAUGAGAGUCUCGUGCAUUGGACUGUCGUUACUUUAGUUCAAUAAUUCAAUGGAGUUGUCCAAGUCUAAUUGUAUGAAACUGGUAUUGUAAAGGUGAUUUUCCUUUAUCAAGUUCCUUAGAAACUUCCUCCAUGGUUGGACGAGAAUGUGGAUUUGUACUCAAACAAGUAAGUGCCAACUUUGCAAUCAAGAUAAUUUCCCCAACAAUUGGAUUCUUUGUUGGUUGAGGAAUUCUUUGAUCUAAAGCAUCAAUCAAUAGCAGAUUAUUAGCAAUUGGAACUGUUGAUGAUGACAUAAACAAUGAAAUGAGAUCUCCUGGGUGCUUUCCCAUUAUGAUUUCUAAUGCAAGUACUCCAAAACUGUAUGCAUCACAUUUCUCAUUCACUUCCAUUGUUUGUGCAAGCUCUGCAAAGAAAAUUUUGAAAUGUUUUAUAGGUUUCAAUAGUAGCAACUUGUGUUUUCUACAAGGAUAAUUUUGCACAUCACUUGUUUACAUUCUAGAACGAUAAAGUAGUUGUUUAGUGAUCAUGAGAUCACAGGUUCAGAUCCUGGAAACAGCCUUUCCGCUUGCGAGGUUAAAGCUGUAUGUAUACAUGUACCUUCCCUAGACCCGACUAAGUGGGAGACUCGGGUAAUGGACCACCCUUUUCUUUACUUGUUUACAAUUUUCGUCGUUUUUGCGUUACUCGUAUUCUUUCAUUGGGAUUGGUCUAACUUUUGUACAGGUGAGCCAAUCCCUAUGCGGAAUAUCGAUAUAACGAAAGUGAUGUAAGUGAAAGAUAAUGUGAUCAUUUACAUUUAGAAAUAGAAGGGGAAAGGGUCUAACCUGGAGCGGCGUACCCGAAGGUGCCUGCAAAUGCAGUCCAAGUUUUUGAACCAUGAGUUAGAAACUUUGCUGUCCCAAAGUCAGAAAGAUGAGCUUCGUAUUCGAGAUCUAAAAGAACAUUUUUGCUCGAAAUAUCGCGGUGAAUUAUCGGGGGUGAGCAGUCAUGAUGCAUAUAGGAUAAAGCAUUGGCUACACCCUUAAUAACAUUAACCCUCUUUUCCCAAUCAAAUGCAGUUGCUUGUGUGUCCUCUUUUAGCAUUUGAUCCAAGUUGCCACUUUCCAAGAACUCAUAGACCAAAAAUGAAAACUGUGAAUGCAAACAAAAUCCAUAGAGCUUUAUAAUGUUCCUGUGCUUUACUCCUGUCAAGGUUUGAAUCUCACUUGUAAAAGCUUUUACACUCGACAUUUCCUCACCUGUUACUGAAUGAAGUUUCUUCACCGCGACAACCUGACCCGUAGGCAAAUCGGCCUUGUAAACGCGCCCUUGCCCUCCAACUCCAAUGAGAUACUUGUCAUCAAAAUUCUCCGUAGCUUCAAUGAUAGUUUCAAACAUCAUUUUUCCGUCAUAACUCCAUAUGGAAAAGUGUGCUUCAGUCUGUGCUUCUUGAGCCUGGACUUCACUCUUUCUUUUACGUCGACAAAUAAUGUACAUUGAAAGUACCACUCCACAAAACACUAGUGCUAGGGGUCCCAAGAUAUAAAAUAAAACAAACUUUAGGACAUUGCGGCUCUUCUUAUGACUGCUAUCGGUUGAGCAAAGCAACAAGCCAGUAACAUUACCACAUAAGCCUCUGUUAUUUUUUAAUGAUUCGAUUGAAGCAUUAAGAAAGGCUUUAGUAUUCGGAAUUGGACCUUCUAACUGAUUGUAAGAUAUGUUGACAGUAUUCAAGAUUAAUGUAGUAUCAAAACUAGAUGGAAUGGUCCCGGAAAGAUCAUUAUGUGAGACAUUCAACAUUUCCAAGUGCUUCAAAUCUCCAAGCAUUGUGGGUAUUGUUCCGGACAACGAAUUGUAACUAAGAUCAAGAAAUGCGAGAGAUUGGCCAAUAUUAGAGGGAAUGCUUCCUUCUAUUUUAUUGUUGCUCAAAUUCAACUCUAGCAAAUUUGGUAAGGCCAUCACCUUUUCCGGUAUCGUGCCACUGAACUCAUUUCCUGCUAGAUCCAAGUGUUGAAGAUUCUGCAGCGAACCUAUUUCUGUUGGAAUGUUUCCAGAAAGAUGAUUGUUGCUGAUCCUGAGUUCAACUAGUGAUUUCAAAUUCCCUAGCUCCUUUGGAAGCUUUCCUGUCAACUGAUUCGAUGAAAGGUGAAGUGCGCCUAGCUUGGUUGCAUUAACAAGUUCUAUUGGUAUACCACCAGAAAGAUUAUUGUUUCGGAUGAUAAGCCGAGUAAGUUUAGGGCAUUUGCCCCAAUUUGGAGAAACUUGACCAUAAAAUCUAUUGCUGCUCAGAUCAAUAUAGUCCAAAUUUGGAUAGACGCCGAAGUCUUCCGUUAUAUUUCCUUCAAUUUGAUUUUCAUCGAGCCUGAUUCUAGUGACACUAGAGCAGUUCUUAAGGCUUGUUGGUAUUGGACCCGAAAAUUUGUUGUUAUCAGCACUCAAGGUUUCUAAAUACCCACUUGAGCAGAUUUGUGGUGGCAAAGGACCAAUCAAAUUAUUGUCAGACAACUGCAAGUUACUCAAGUUGGUAAGGUUAUUCAUUUCAUGUGGAAGGCUACCACUUAGUUUGUUUCCGAAUAAUUGCAGGUCGUUGAGCUGUAUCAAGUUUCCAAUUGUCGAAGGAACCGACCCUGAGAGAUUGUUUUCUCCAAGGCUGAGCAAAUAUAAAUUGACCAGAUUCCCUACAGAGGUAGGAAUUGAUCCAGAGAAGUUAUUUGUGACCAAGUACAGUACAUUGAGCUGUGUCAGGUUUCCAAUAGUCGGAGGAAUUGGUCCAGAAAGAUGGUUUUCGGAAAGUGCAAGGAUAGUCAAAUUGACUAAGUUUCCUACAUAGGAUGGGAUUGAUCCAGAAAGCUUAUUGAUGCUAAAGUUGAGCUCAAACAAAUUAACCAAGUUCCAUAUGGAGGAUGGGAUUGACCCGGAGAGUAAAUUUCCGAAAAGGUAAAGAAAGUUCAGCUUGGUUAAAUUUCCAAUUUCAGAAGGAAUAGUACCAUAGAGACCACUUUCUGACAAAUCAAGAAACUCAAGCUUUCUCAACAUUCCAAUUUCUUUGGGUAUGGAACCCUUCAAGGUUGGAUUAUGUGCAAUGCCAAGAUAAACCAGGUUGCUCAAUUUCCCAAUUUCUAUAGGAAUAUACCCUUCUAGAUAGUUGUUUCCAAAAUCUAGAUGUGAUAAGUUAGCCAAGUUUACUAUGGAAAUAGGAAUUGACCCACUAAGAUUGCAUCUAGCUAGAUCCAAAUCAUACAAACUCCUCAAUGUCCACAUUUCUUGAGGAAUGGAACCAUUUAAGAAAUUGUAAGACAUGUUCAUAUGAUUAAGUCUUGAUAAGUUACCAAUUUGUGGAGGAAUUGUUCCAUAAAAAGAGUUGUUGCUAAUAUCUAAGCUUAAGAGGUUGGGUAAGGAAGAGAAACUAAGUGUAUGAAGUGUACCUUUGAGUCCAUAAUUUGUAAGACUUAAACUAUAAACUGACUUGGAUUUAUCACAUAGAAUCCCUUCCCAUUUGCAUACACUAGUAGUAGUAGUGCUUUUCCAUGAUGAUAAUAGAACUUGGCUUUUGGUGUCAAAACUUGAUUUCCACUUCAAUAGUGCAUUUGCUUCACUCUCUAUUGAAUCAGUUGUUUCAUUCAUAGUAGCUGUGGCCAAAGAUGCAAUCUUUGAAAAACUUGUAACUUGGUUUGAAGAGAGUGUUAGAAGAAUACAUAACAAUAUGAAGAGAUUUUGAUAUGAUGAUGCUACAAGCAAGGUUGCCAUGAAUUUUGUAUAAUUUGAUAUCAAUGAGUAUUGCACAUGCUUCUAAGUGUCUGGUAUAUGGUGUUUGAUGAUAGAAGUUGAAGUUGGAAGAUGCUUAUACACAUAUAUAUACAUACAUAUAUAUACAUACAUAUAAUAUAUAUAUAUAUAUAUAUAAUUAAGCAUGUGAUUUUAGCAAAUAAUAUGAACACAUUUUGGUUGUUGAAGUCUCUGCUUAUGCCUAAGAAAUGCUCCACUAUGGUUGUAAUAUUGAAGUUAUAUUUUGCAAACAUGGUCCAUGCUUCACAUCACUUUUUUAUGGAAAAACGUGCAUUAUUUUUUUCUCUAAGAGAAAGAGAAAAAAUGUGUUAGUGAUGUAAGAGUUUAAUAUUAUAUAAUAGUUUAAAAUGUAUGUAUUUACAGUAUAAAAUUUUUUAGAUCGUCAAACCAUUAUCUACUAUUAAUUUAUAUUAUUUUAGUUUGAGAGUCAAUAAUGAUUAAUAAAUCAAUGAUAGAUAAUUUGCUGAUAGUAUAAAAAACUCUUACUGUAUACAUAUUAAAUUCAUUCUACAAUACAUAAUUAUUAAUUAGUUAAGAUUGGUAGACUUUUAAAGUUAAGAAAUACAGAAAUAAAUUAUGGAUAAUGUAUUAGUUUUGAUUGAAUCUUUAAGAUUAUAUAGUGAAUAAAUAUUACAUUUUUUUAUUUGGGUAUUACAUAGAAUGUAAUAUCUAUACAUUGAUGAUAAUAUAAAUAUUUUUAUACAAAGUUAAUUUAUCAUUCAUUAUUCACUUGUAUUAUUUCUAUAAAAUUCUUACUAGGUGGAUAUAUUUGAAGUUAAUAAUGAUAGAGUUGCUUUUGAUAUUCUUUAUUCUGUAUUAAUGGGACCAUGUUUCAUUAUUCCAGCUACUUUUGUUUUGUCGUUUUUGUUCUAUAUUAAUGUAUUACAUGUUGAAGACAUGAUUAUAAAGUAAUUUAUAAUAAUCACAUGGUAUGCAUUACAGGUUUGUGUGAUUAUAAAAUAUAAUUCUUCUUGAAAUUAUUAGAUUCGAUUUGAUAUUCAACAUUCACAUGCUUAAAGAAACAUUUCAGCAUUGACUAUUAAGAAAAUCCUCCAUAAGAGUUGUUGCACAAAAACUAUUUCAAAGAGGAAAGUCAUAAAAUUACCAGAGGUGUAUGCAACCAUUAUUUUAUAGGAAUAAAUUUUUUACAGGCCUCAAACAUUUAAUUAUAGAUAAAUUUAAUUAAUGAUUUCACCACCAAAAAUUUCACUCCAACAUUUAUGGGACCUAAAUAAAAUUUUAGAAGUUAAAAAAUUCACUCUAGACUUAUUUGAUAAACUUUUUAAAAGAUGUGUAAAGUUUUCUCAAAUAUCAAGAUAUAUGGAUAGUAAUGGGUCUAAAUGGGUUCUGAUAGUAUCUUACCCAAAUCCGCCAUGUUACUUCAUUUUUUGUCAUAGACCCGUUCUGGAGCAAUGUUGAUAUCCAUUAAGUUUACUACCUGUGGGUCCUUGGAUACCUAGUAGAUCCUUGGGUAUCUACAAAUUCAAGCAUAAUGGUCCAAGUAAAUCUAGUAAAAUCAUCUACUAAGGUAAGGAAAUAUUUGUAACCAAAAAAAGAGGGGACAACAUAAGGACCCCAUAUGUUAGCAUGAAGAAUUUGAAAAGGCUUAAUUGUUUCGGAAGUACUUGAUGAAAAAGGGACUUUCUUUUGUCUAGAAUAGUGACAUAUGUCACAAGGUUUUGAAGAUCUAAAAUUGGUGAUAGAAGAAGGAUAUUGUUUAUUGAUAACAUGCAUAGCAAAAUCAGAAAUAUGGCGUAGUCUUAAGUGCCAUGAAACAAAAUUAGUGCUAGAAUUAUUGUAAAAAGUAAAGGAACUUGGUUUGAAGACAUGUCGUGUAUGCAAGGUGAAUAACCCUUGUUGAAGCCUAGCUGAAUCAAUCAUCUUCUUGAUAUGGUUCUGCAAAAUAAGACAUUGAUUCUUAGUAAAUAUCAAGUGACAAUGUAAAUCUUGAAUCAGUUUAUUGACAAAAAUCAAGUUAACAUGGAAUUAGGAACAUACAAAACAUUGGUUAAGAUAAAGGAGGUAGACAAUUUUACAAUUCCAUAUAUGGAAGUAGAUAUCUUGCUACCAUUGAGUAAAUUGAUAACCAUUGGAGUUAUGGUGUCAUGUGUGAUGAAUUGUUUCACAUCAUAGGUGAUGUGGUCUAUGGCUCCAGUGCCCCAAGGAGCCACUGAAAUCUUACAUUACCUAAGUCAUAGGAUUGCACUGUGGUGUUGAUGACAAAAUUUGUAGUAUUUGUAGUGUUGGCAACAUGGUUUUGAUCAACCUUAGCUUGAUGCAGCAUAUCCAACAAACCUUGAACUUGUUCUUGGGUGAAGGUGUGAUUGUAAUUCUUUAUAGGUGGAAUGAUUCUUGUUUCUGUAUUGAUAUCUUCAACCUUGUCCAAUGGAAAACCCAUUGUGUUGUUUGCCAUUCUAUUGGAUCUGUUAGAUUGGAACCCUAGUGGGUAUCCAUGUUUUAGGAAUCAAGUCUCAAUGGUGUGUGGGUUCUUUGGCCAUGAGUGCAGAAUCUAUUGAUCUGGGAUCUACCUACUCCACUAGUGAGCCUACCAACUCUCCCUCUAUUCGAAUCAUUUCCUCUUCCUCUUCGAUUUCUAGUGCUCCUAGAUUGAUAAUCAUGUCUAGAGUUUACUAACAGAAUCUGUCAUUUUGUUUCAAUGUUGGGUAAGGUAGGAUUUUCAAAUUGUUCCUCUUACUGUAUAAGCAAUGAAAAGACUUUAUUGAUGUUGGGAAGAGGCUCUAUUAACAUAAUUUGGGAUCUUACUUGUGGAAAUUGGUCACUCAAACCUGUUAGGAGCCUAAUUGCAUAAUCUUGAUCCCUAUAAGCUUUCAUUGAUUCAACAGUACCAUAAAUACAUGGUGUAGGACACUUACAAGUUCUUAGUGGCCUAAAGUUUUCAAUUUCUUCCCAUAUAGACUUUAAUUGGCUAAAAAAUUCAGAAAUAGUUAGGGUUCCUUGGCUUAGGUGACAAAAUUCUAAUUGCAAUUUGGCUAUAUGAAAACCAUCACCUUUUGAAUACCCAUCUUUCAUAUCUUUCCAGACGAUAGAGACAUUAACAAUCCAUAAAAUUCGUGAGAGUAUCAUGUUAUUGCAUCUCACCCAGGGGUUCCUGUGCUUUACUCCUGUCAAGGUUUGAAUCUCACUUGUAAAAGCUUUUACACUCGACAUUUCCUCACCUGUUACUGAAUGAAGUUUCUUCACCGCGACAACCUGACCCGUAGGCAAAUCGGCCUUGUAAACGCGCCCUUGCCCUCCAACUCCAAUGAGAUACUUGUCAUCAAAAUUCUCCGUAGCUUCAAUGAUAGUUUCAAACAUCAUUUUUCCGUCAUAACUCCAUAUGGAAAAGUGUGCUUCAGUCUGUGCUUCUUGAGCCUGGACUUCACUCUUUCUUUUACGUCGACAAAUAAUGUACAUUGAAAGUACCACUCCACAAAACACUAGUGCUAGGGGUCCCAAGAUAUAAAAUAAAACAAACUUUAGGACAUUGCGGCUCUUCUUAUGACUGCUAUCGGUUGAGCAAAGCAACAAGCCAGUAACAUUACCACAUAAGCCUCUGUUAUUUUUUAAUGAUUCGAUUGAAGCAUUAAGAAAGGCUUUAGUAUUCGGAAUUGGACCUUCUAACUGAUUGUAAGAUAUGUUGACAGUAUUCAAGAUUAAUGUAGUAUCAAAACUAGAUGGAAUGGUCCCGGAAAGAUCAUUAUGUGAGACAUUCAACAUUUCCAAGUGCUUCAAAUCUCCAAGCAUUGUGGGUAUUGUUCCGGACAACGAAUUGUAACUAAGAUCAAGAAAUGCGAGAGAUUGGCCAAUAUUAGAGGGAAUGCUUCCUUCUAUUUUAUUGUUGCUCAAAUUCAACUCUAGCAAAUUUGGUAAGGCCAUCACCUUUUCCGGUAUCGUGCCACUGAACUCAUUUCCUGCUAGAUCCAAGUGUUGAAGAUUCUGCAGCGAACCUAUUUCUGUUGGAAUGUUUCCAGAAAGAUGAUUGUUGCUGAUCCUGAGUUCAACUAGUGAUUUCAAAUUCCCUAGCUCCUUUGGAAGCUUUCCUGUCAACUGAUUCGAUGAAAGGUGAAGUGCGCCUAGCUUGGUUGCAUUAACAAGUUCUAUUGGUAUACCACCAGAAAGAUUAUUGUUUCGGAUGAUAAGCCGAGUAAGUUUAGGGCAUUUGCCCCAAUUUGGAGAAACUUGACCAUAAAAUCUAUUGCUGCUCAGAUCAAUAUAGUCCAAAUUUGGAUAGACGCCGAAGUCUUCCGUUAUAUUUCCUUCAAUUUGAUUUUCAUCGAGCCUGAUUCUAGUGACACUAGAGCAGUUCUUAAGGCUUGUUGGUAUUGGACCCGAAAAUUUGUUGUUAUCAGCACUCAAGGUUUCUAAAUACCCACUUGAGCAGAUUUGUGGUGGCAAAGGACCAAUCAAAUUAUUGUCAGACAACUGCAAGUUACUCAAGUUGGUAAGGUUAUUCAUUUCAUGUGGAAGGCUACCACUUAGUUUGUUUCCGAAUAAUUGCAGGUCGUUGAGCUGUAUCAAGUUUCCAAUUGUCGAAGGAACCGACCCUGAGAGAUUGUUUUCUCCAAGGCUGAGCAAAUAUAAAUUGACCAGAUUCCCUACAGAGGUAGGAAUUGAUCCAGAGAAGUUAUUUGUGACCAAGUACAGUACAUUGAGCUGUGUCAGGUUUCCAAUAGUCGGAGGAAUUGGUCCAGAAAGAUGGUUUUCGGAAAGUGCAAGGAUAGUCAAAUUGACUAAGUUUCCUACAUAGGAUGGGAUUGAUCCAGAAAGCUUAUUGAUGCUAAAGUUGAGCUCAAACAAAUUAACCAAGUUCCAUAUGGAGGAUGGGAUUGACCCGGAGAGUAAAUUUCCGAAAAGGUAAAGAAAGUUCAGCUUGGUUAAAUUUCCAAUUUCAGAAGGAAUAGUACCAUAGAGACCACUUUCUGACAAAUCAAGAAACUCAAGCUUUCUCAACAUUCCAAUUUCUUUGGGUAUGGAACCCUUCAAGGUUGGAUUAUGUGCAAUGCCAAGAUAAACCAGGUUGCUCAAUUUCCCAAUUUCUAUAGGAAUAUACCCUUCUAGAUAGUUGUUUCCAAAAUCUAGAUGUGAUAAGUUAGCCAAGUUUACUAUGGAAAUAGGAAUUGACCCACUAAGAUUGCAUCUAGCUAGAUCCAAAUCAUACAAACUCCUCAAUGUCCACAUUUCUUGAGGAAUGGAACCAUUUAAGAAAUUGUAAGACAUGUUCAUAUGAUUAAGUCUUGAUAAGUUACCAAUUUGUGGAGGAAUUGUUCCAUAAAAAGAGUUGUUGCUAAUAUCUAAGCUUAAGAGGUUGGGUAAGGAAGAGAAACUAAGUGUAUGAAGUGUACCUUUGAGUCCAUAAUUUGUAAGACUUAAACUAUAAACUGACUUGGAUUUAUCACAUAGAAUCCCUUCCCAUUUGCAUACACUAGUAGUAGUAGUGCUUUUCCAUGAUGAUAAUAGAACUUGGCUUUUGGUGUCAAAACUUGAUUUCCACUUCAAUAGUGCAUUUGCUUCACUCUCUAUUGAAUCAGUUGUUUCAUUCAUAGUAGCUGUGGCCAAAGAUGCAAUCUUUGAAAAACUUGUAACUUGGUUUGAAGAGAGUGUUAGAAGAAUACAUAACAAUAUGAAGAGAUUUUGAUAUGAUGAUGCUACAAGCAAGGUUGCCAUGAAUUUUGUAUAAUUUGAUAUCAAUGAGUAUUGCACAUGCUUCUAAGUGUCUGGUAUAUGGUGUUUGAUGAUAGAAGUUGAAGUUGGAAGAUGCUUAUACACAUAUAUAUACAUACAUAUAUAUACAUACAUAUAAUAUAUAUAUAUAUAUAUAUAAUUAAGCAUGUGAUUUUAGCAAAUAAUAUGAACACAUUUUGGUUGUUGAAGUCUCUGCUUAUGCCUAAGAAAUGCUCCACUAUGGUUGUAAUAUUGAAGUUAUAUUUUGCAAACAUGGUCCAUGCUUCACAUCACUUUUUUAUGGAAAAACGUGCAUUAUUUUUUUCUCUAAGAGAAAGAGAAAAAAUGUGUUAGUGAUGUAAGAGUUUAAUAUUAUAUAAUAGUUUAAAAUGUAUGUAUUUACAGUAUAAAAUUUUUUAGAUCGUCAAACCAUUAUCUACUAUUAAUUUAUAUUAUUUUAGUUUGAGAGUCAAUAAUGAUUAAUAAAUCAAUGAUAGAUAAUUUGCUGAUAGUAUAAAAAACUCUUACUGUAUACAUAUUAAAUUCAUUCUACAAUACAUAAUUAUUAAUUAGUUAAGAUUGGUAGACUUUUAAAGUUAAGAAAUACAGAAAUAAAUUAUGGAUAAUGUAUUAGUUUUGAUUGAAUCUUUAAGAUUAUAUAGUGAAUAAAUAUUACAUUUUUUUAUUUGGGUAUUACAUAGAAUGUAAUAUCUAUACAUUGAUGAUAAUAUAAAUAUUUUUAUACAAAGUUAAUUUAUCAUUCAUUAUUCACUUGUAUUAUUUCUAUAAAAUUCUUACUAGGUGGAUAUAUUUGAAGUUAAUAAUGAUAGAGUUGCUUUUGAUAUUCUUUAUUCUGUAUUAAUGGGACCAUGUUUCAUUAUUCCAGCUACUUUUGUUUUGUCGUUUUUGUUCUAUAUUAAUGUAUUACAUGUUGAAGACAUGAUUAUAAAGUAAUUUAUAAUAAUCACAUGGUAUGCAUUACAGGUUUGUGUGAUUAUAAAAUAUAAUUCUUCUUGAAAUUAUUAGAUUCGAUUUGAUAUUCAACAUUCACAUGCUUAAAGAAACAUUUCAGCAUUGACUAUUAAGAAAAUCCUCCAUAAGAGUUGUUGCACAAAAACUAUUUCAAAGAGGAAAGUCAUAAAAUUACCAGAGGUGUAUGCAACCAUUAUUUUAUAGGAAUAAAUUUUUUACAGGCCUCAAACAUUUAAUUAUAGAUAAAUUUAAUUAAUGAUUUCACCACCAAAAAUUUCACUCCAACAUUUAUGGGACCUAAAUAAAAUUUUAGAAGUUAAAAAAUUCACUCUAGACUUAUUUGAUAAACUUUUUAAAAGAUGUGUAAAGUUUUCUCAAAUAUCAAGAUAUAUGGAUAGUAAUGGGUCUAAAUGGGUUCUGAUAGUAUCUUACCCAAAUCCGCCAUGUUACUUCAUUUUUUGUCAUAGACCCGUUCUGGAGCAAUGUUGAUAUCCAUUAAGUUUACUACCUGUGGGUCCUUGGAUACCUAGUAGAUCCUUGGGUAUCUACAAAUUCAAGCAUAAUGGUCCAAGUAAAUCUAGUAAAAUCAUCUACUAAGGUAAGGAAAUAUUUGUAACCAAAAAAAGAGGGGACAACAUAAGGACCCCAUAUGUUAGCAUGAAGAAUUUGAAAAGGCUUAAUUGUUUCGGAAGUACUUGAUGAAAAAGGGACUUUCUUUUGUCUAGAAUAGUGACAUAUGUCACAAGGUUUUGAAGAUCUAAAAUUGGUGAUAGAAGAAGGAUAUUGUUUAUUGAUAACAUGCAUAGCAAAAUCAGAAAUAUGGCGUAGUCUUAAGUGCCAUGAAACAAAAUUAGUGCUAGAAUUAUUGUAAAAAGUAAAGGAACUUGGUUUGAAGACAUGUCGUGUAUGCAAGGUGAAUAACCCUUGUUGAAGCCUAGCUGAAUCAAUCAUCUUCUUGAUAUGGUUCUGCAAAAUAAGACAUUGAUUCUUAGUAAAUAUCAAGUGACAAUGUAAAUCUUGAAUCAGUUUAUUGACAAAAAUCAAGUUAACAUGGAAUUAGGAACAUACAAAACAUUGGUUAAGAUAAAGGAGGUAGACAAUUUUACAAUUCCAUAUAUGGAAGUAGAUAUCUUGCUACCAUUGAGUAAAUUGAUAACCAUUGGAGUUAUGGUGUCAUGUGUGAUGAAUUGUUUCACAUCAUAGGUGAUGUGGUCUAUGGCUCCAGUGCCCCAAGGAGCCACUGAAAUCUUACAUUACCUAAGUCAUAGGAUUGCACUGUGGUGUUGAUGACAAAAUUUGUAGUAUUUGUAGUGUUGGCAACAUGGUUUUGAUCAACCUUAGCUUGAUGCAGCAUAUCCAACAAACCUUGAACUUGUUCUUGGGUGAAGGUGUGAUUGUAAUUCUUUAUAGGUGGAAUGAUUCUUGUUUCUGUAUUGAUAUCUUCAACCUUGUCCAAUGGAAAACCCAUUGUGUUGUUUGCCAUUCUAUUGGAUCUGUUAGAUUGGAACCCUAGUGGGUAUCCAUGUUUUAGGAAUCAAGUCUCAAUGGUGUGUGGGUUCUUUGGCCAUGAGUGCAGAAUCUAUUGAUCUGGGAUCUACCUACUCCACUAGUGAGCCUACCAACUCUCCCUCUAUUCGAAUCAUUUCCUCUUCCUCUUCGAUUUCUAGUGCUCCUAGAUUGAUAAUCAUGUCUAGAGUUUACUAACAGAAUCUGUCAUUUUGUUUCAAUGUUGGGUAAGGUAGGAUUUUCAAAUUGUUCCUCUUACUGUAUAAGCAAUGAAAAGACUUUAUUGAUGUUGGGAAGAGGCUCUAUUAACAUAAUUUGGGAUCUUACUUGUGGAAAUUGGUCACUCAAACCUGUUAGGAGCCUAAUUGCAUAAUCUUGAUCCCUAUAAGCUUUCAUUGAUUCAACAGUACCAUAAAUACAUGGUGUAGGACACUUACAAGUUCUUAGUGGCCUAAAGUUUUCAAUUUCUUCCCAUAUAGACUUUAAUUGGCUAAAAAAUUCAGAAAUAGUUAGGGUUCCUUGGCUUAGGUGACAAAAUUCUAAUUGCAAUUUGGCUAUAUGAAAACCAUCACCUUUUGAAUACCCAUCUUUCAUAUCUUUCCAGACGAUAGAGACAUUAACAAUCCAUAAAAUUCGUGAGAGUAUCAUGUUAUUGCAUCUCACCCAGGGAAUGUGAAGAGGAUCAUCUGAUGGUGGCUUGGUCAGGCUUCCAUCAAUAAACUUCAUCUUGUUCUUGGACUCGACGGCCAUCUUGAAUGCAUGAGCCCAAGAAUGGUAAUUUCUCCCAUUCAGCAAGGGGGUGAUUAGAACAAGAGCCGAAUUUUCACUGGAGUGCAUAAAAUAUGGGUUUGAGGGAUUUAUGUUAUGGUCCGGCAUUAUCUAGAGUUGUAGAGAGAGGAGAAGGUUAUUGGAAUAGUAAAGAGAGGAAAGACAAGGAAGAGGAGAAAAGAAGGGAGGUUAGUAAUGAGAGCAAUUGUUACUCUGAUACCAUCUUAACUUUGCAAUAAGCCAUCAAUGGAAAAAAAGAAAGUUGUAGAGAAAUCUUUUAUUGCUUAAAAUGAAAGUAAUAUGAAUUGAAUGAAUUGCCAUAAUGAAGAAGAAGACUAUAUAUCCUAAAAGAAGAAAGUGGUUAAUAACUAACCCAACUAACCUAACUAUAUACUAACAAAUAAGGUAAGAAUGGUGCCUUGCAUAAGAAGAAACCAUUACUUUAACAAUAUACCCUAAAAUAAAUCUAUAUAAAUAGAUUAGAUUAGAUUAGAUUAGAUUUAGAUAAUAUAUCAUAUGAAAUUAAAGAUACAUUCCUGAUUAUCCCAAUCAUAUAGAACACUAUAAAUUCCUCUUGAAUCAUCCUAACCCUAAUGAACAAAACCCAUAAAAUCACAAUGGCAGAGACAGUAAUCAAUGAUAUUAACAAUUUCUCAGAUGAUAUUCUUUGUCACAUUCUAUCUUUUCUGCCAACCAAAGAUGCUGUUGCAACCAGUGUUCUUUCAAAGAGGUUUAGACCACUAUGGCUCUUUGCUCCUUCUAUAAACUUCACUCAACCCAAUGAAGACAUUGGAAGUUGGGUAGUUUAUUCAGUUAUGCGUAUGAGAGGUUUGAAACUACCUUUGAAAAGGUUUUGUCUUAAAAUCAAUGGUCCUAUUUAUGAUGCUGAUUCUUUUGAUAUUAGCACAUGGGUUAAUGGUGCAAUACAACGUGGACUUGAGAAUCUUGAUCUUAGUCUAAGUUUAUCACUUGAUAUUAAUUUCCCACUUGGAAAUAUUCUUGGUAGCAAAACCCUAAUGGUUCUUAAACUGAACAAGUUAAAAGUUGAUAAUGUUUUCAUUGAUGGGUUUCCAUGUCUCAAAACCAUGCAUUUGGAUGAUGUUGUUUUCAAAGAACAUAGACAUCUUAUGCACCUUCUUUCUGGGUGUCCAAAUCUUGAGGAAUUGCAUGCAGUCAAACCAGUAGUUGAAGAUGGUUAUACUUUCAAUCAUGAUGAAGAGUUUGAAGUUCAAAGUUUGCAAAAUUUGGUUACAGUACGUGUUUCAAUGGCUGAUUGUAUUCCAAUGGAAUGCAUUCGUCAAGUAAAGUUUCUUGGUUUCAAAGAGGUAUAUCAUCAUCACCAUUGAAUUUUCAUUAGUUUUGUCAUUUAUUAUCAUGUUUCGGUAAAGAAUAUGAUUUAUAAUAUAUCAUUUAUGACGUCGUUCGAAUCAUGUAGCCAAUCUCACCUAUCGUAAGAAAGGUUUAGUUGUUAUGUUGUUGUUAUUCAUUCUCAUGUUUAUAUGUUUUCUUUGAUUCAGGAUUUUUCAUUUUUUCAAGCUUCACCAGACUACAAGUUUACUUGCAUGUUUAGUAAUUUAUCAUUCCUCAAGUUUAUUGUUAAGAUCUAUAACAUGAAUUGGUUUCUACAAGUACUCCAACAUUGCCCAAAUCUUCAAUCUCUUGUGAUUUUUAAGGUUUGGUUUUUUUAAUCUUACACUUAUUUAAUAUUUCUGUUUAUUUAUGGUUUCAAAUAUUGGAAACAGUCUUUUCCAUUACAGGGUAAGGCUUAAUUCGUACAUCUAUUAUUCCAGAUCUCAUUAAGUGGCAGCCUCGUACAUUGGGUUGUCUUUUUUUUCCGCCUUAAUAAUGAUUCUUUAUUGUAUAUUUUCCUAACAAUUUAUUUGAUGUCUAUUGUUACAAGGAUGCUAAUGUUAGUGAUCAUUACAUGGAUGAAAACAUUGAUGUGAAAAAGUGGCAGCUAGAGUUCACUCCUGAAUGUCUUUCAACACAUCUCAAUCUAUGCUCUUUUCAUAACUUUAGAGGUUGGAAAUGUGAGUUAGAGUUUGCAAAAUAUAUUAUGAAAAAUGCAAAAGUUUUAGAGACCAUGAAAAUCUCAAGUCAUAGAUCCUCAAAACCACAAACAAAGCUUGAAAUGGUUAAGAAAUUAUCUAUGUAUCCUAAGAGUUCUCCAACAUGUGAACUUUCAUUUGAGUGACAAGUUGUGGAUAUGAUUUCUCAGAAGAUCCAAAAUUGUUUUUAAUUAGUGUCUUUAUGUGUAAUUUCAUAAUGGUUUUGGUGAUUUUGAAGGUUAUGGACUUUUAUUGUACACAAAUCAAAUAAAAUACUUGUCCUUAUUUCCUUGUGUGAUACAAAUUUUGAAAAAAAGAUAGAUUAUUUUUCAAUAAUUAGAUGAUUCUUGCUCCUUCCAUACUUAAUGAUGUUUCUUUGAAACUAUAUAUGGUUAAAAUUAUUGUGCUUAUACACAAUCUUUGUAAUAUCAUUGAUCUUAAAAAUAAUUAAAUAAAUGAAUAGUUGUUCAACAUGUGAAUUAAGGAAAUAUUGUGAAACUAAGUAUAAUCAACAGAUUCCAUUAACUAUAUAGUUUCAAAUGUUACAAGCCAGUUUGAAGUGUCUUACUUACUCAGGUCUAUUAACUUACUCAGAAAGGCACAACAUGAUGGUAUUAGUCCUCAUAAGAGGAAUGGCGACGCCGAUGAGAGUGUUCGUCUCUUUCUUUUCUCUUCUGAGAAUGUCUCUCGGUUUCAGCGUUACUCCUGCGUCCGUGUUCUUUCUUAGAUGAACUCCUGUCAUGUUGGUGACCACCCCUCUCUUCGCUUCUCUCCAAAGAGCUCCUUCUCCGCGAGUGAUCAUCUCGGUGACUUGAAUUCCUUCUGUGGUGCCGUUCUUCAAUAUUGUCCUCUGGGUUUUUGAGGUUACCAUCAUCCCGGUCCCUAUCUUUAGAAUCCCUUCUUCGGGAGUCUUUUUCCCUGUCCGAAAUGCUAUUUUCUCUCCGAGGGGGAGAUGGGGCCUGUACAUAUAUGUAAAGACAAAUAAAAGAAAUUAACAAUAAAAUCGUAAUUUUCAAAUUUUGGUUCGGAAGUGAAUUACUGAUUCAUCAAAAGCAAGAUUAAACAAGCAGAGAUAAAUAAUGUGCCAUGACCCAUUUUUGCAAGGAACAAUUCUUUUUCCAUUAAUAACUCAAACUAUUUAAGAAUGCAGAUCAAGAUUCUUACAUGUUAUAUUACAUGACACUUUCAAAAUAGGAUAUGCUCAAUGGUCAAACAACAAUACCUGAUUGCGCGACAGGUAUCUUCCCUCGGGUGGAGGUGGGAUGCCAAGCUUCUCGAGCUCCUCAUACGGGAUUGGUUUCCUGGUUACAUGGUCAAACAAAUACAGAGUUAAUAUAGCCGCCGUUAAUGAACCGUAGCUAUGCCAUCAAGUUAACUAGCAGGGUCAAAUUCAAGCAGUGUCACAAGCCAACUAAUAGCAUUUAGCCGAAUGAUAAAUGGAGAUAUGUCAUUUUAUGUCUGCAAUAUGCUAAUUAACUUCACUCCUUUUCACAGAACUUCUACAAUGAAGAAUUAAACAAAUAACUUCUCUGUUAACAAAACCAUAACUUCCUUCACUUAUAGGCAUUCAAUGAUCUUAGGAUCUAUAUAACCUUCAAAACACGUCUAAUAGUCAUGUAAAUCAUAUGCACAUGCGCUGGUAUAAUACACUACUUGCAGCUGUGCAUCAUACAUGGUAACAUAAAACUGAAUGAAACAACAUGCCAGCCCCAUUGCAAUAUCAUAAUAUCUUGAAAACUUGCUGCUAUGUAGCUGAUUAAUAUGUGAUAGAGCAAUUUAUAUGGAGUUGUGAUUUCCAUCUUGAAAACCUUUCUACGUGUGCUUGAUGUUAUACAUAGCCAUUCCUAAGCCCAAAUAAAAAGUGAAGGUUGUGUUAGACAGUCGACAACCAACAUAAAACUUUGUCGAAUCUCUACGAUAAGUGAUUGCAGACACUAAUGGUUUGGCCAAGUUACAUUGACUGCCUCUCUUGUUUAGCUGAACUAAAUUAUAAGAGAUUUUCAGAAAUAAGGAAAUAUAUUGUGGAUAUAAGAGGAUAGAAGUAUACAAGGGUGCACGAAAUGGCUUUUCUCUUCCACCAAAGCGAAGUUGUCCGGAUUCUUUUUUGCCACCAAGACCACCACCUAUUGGAGAGAACAGAGAGUCAUCAGAUGGCUUUGGCUCAAAGGGUAGAAAUACAACAUAAAGAAUGAGUCACUUUAACCGACCUAGCCUUCUAGGAAUCCACCCGGCCAUCAACUUUUGUCUGUUAUAGUCAACAAUGAUUUCAUUAUCAUCAAUAAUUGCAUGAUGAGCAUCCUGAAAAUGAGAAAAUUCAAUGACUAUCGGUAACAUUAACAUUUCAUAAAAAGAUAUAUUGUACAAGUAAGGUGAAGCCCAAAUGAUUUCUUUCGAUUUUUGACCCAUAUGGCAGUAAAAUCAGCUGUACCAUAUAUGCAUAAAAAGCUUCCUUUUAUUGAAUUAAAACUAAACAAAUUUUUAACAUGUCGCUGUACCAUAUAUGCAUGUCGCAUCUCCCUGUUUGUUUCGUAUUCAACAAAUGCAUAACCACGAGAAGCUCCGGUAACUGCAACCAAAAAGAAAUAAUCAAACGUAAAAUCUUCAAUUGUAUUGCUUGAGAAUACUAUGGCCAAAAGAGUAAUUAAAAACUUAUAUAGUUCAAAAGAGCAUAUACAAACAAUUGUGAACCCAUUGGCAGGGGAUUAACACAAACUCAGAUUGUUACACAAGUACACAAUCUACAAGUAAAGGGCGGUCCGGUGCACGAGGCUCCCACCUAGUGGGUCUAGGGAGGGUAGAUAUAUACAGUCUUACCCUCACAAGUAUAGAGGUUGUUUCUAGAAUUUGACCUCAGCACUUGCAGGUCACAAAGCGGACAACCUUACUUUUGCACCGAGGCUCACCCUCGAAGUACACAAUCAGCUAAGUACCCAAUCAUAUUGAUCAUUUGAUAAGCAUGUUCAAUAUGAAAUACCAUUUCUACAAAAUAUUUUUCGAAACACACAAUUUGAUGCAUUGACUAAGAUAAGCCAAAGAAGGAUACCAAUGUCCCGGACCAAGCGUAAGCUUUUGAUAUGACCAUAUUUGCUCAUAAACUGAAAGACAACAACCAAAAAUUCCAUCAGUACAUGAUUUAGGAUAUCCAAGAAGUUACUUAAGAUUAAAGCCAUAAAAUGAGGUAGUAUAAGAAGAAACGGCACUAUCAUCUAAACAUUGAUCGGAUUCAGGAGUACUUUUAUUUACUUUGUAUUUAAUCUGUCCUUCCAUAUCCUCCAUCAAUUCUGAACUCUUAAAUCAAAUAAUGUUAUUGUCCUUAAAUUCAUUCCAUGAAGAAACUCACAAGCUUAAAGGAAUGAAAUUGAGUUCCAGAAUAUGAUUUCAACUAAUACAAGCUCUAUGCUCCUUCCAUACACUCACUAAUCCAUUGUUUGUGCAGAUUGCAGACAGGAUCAGAAUUUAACCCUAUCCUUCUAAUACAAAUUUCUCAGUAAAAAUCAAAUAUACAUUAACUAAAUCAAAAUACAUUUGAACAAUUUUCUUCUUAUUUAUCAUAUAAACAAGGCUCAAAGACAAAAGAACUGGUUAAUGAAAAUAAGGCUAAAGCUGCAAAAUUACAAAAAAAGUGAAAAACAACAAAACUGAAAUUCAUCUUUUUGAGAAGCUAUAAAAAAAAACAGGCGGGUCCAGUGCACACGGCUCUCACUUAGUGGGGUCUGGAGAGGGUAAAUGUAUGCGGUCUUACCCCGCAAGCAGAGAGGUUGUUUCCAGUAUUUGAACUCGUAACUUCAUAGUCACUAAGCAACAAACCUUACCGUUGUUAAGCUAUAUGCAUCAGCUUAUUAAAAAAUCAUUUUAGUCAAAAAUCAACUUUGUAAAAACACUUUUUUAUAAGCCUAAACAAACAUACCCUGUAAAACUGGAGAGAAAAAAAACCUAAAAUUCAAAGUUUUUUUAUCAAAGCUAUAUUUUUCAGCAUCUAAAAAAAUCAAAAUUUUAAGCCUAAACAUGUUACCCCUUAAAAUACCCAAAACCAAAAUCAAUUUUUUUUCAGAAUCACCUUAUUUUAAAAGUAUAAACAAGCAAGCCCUUAAGAAAAACAGAAAAUCAUAUACCUGAUGGAUAAUUUGUUCAGUAGUUAGGUGAUUGAGACGACCAACAAAGACAGUGCAGUAAGGAUCCAUUGUAGCUUUAGAAUCACCAUGUGGGUCAUCUGCAAAAAAAUUAAUUUUUUAUUUACUGAAAUUUAUAAUGAAAUAAAAAUGAAAAUGAAAAUGGAUAUAGUUACAAACAUAGUGAAAGUUUUUGACAAAGAUGAGCACGAUGAAUAGCUUUGUCAUGAGGAACAAUAUCAGUUCCAUCAAUGCUUCCAGCUUGAAUUGGAUGAUAAGAAUUUGCAUAGAAAAUUGAAUUUAAUUUUCUUGAUUUUGUAUCCAUCACAUUUCACUUUACUCUUAUAUAUAAAUAUAAAUAUAAAAGGGGUGAAAUGAAUUAUGAAUUUAUUUAGAGAUGGUUGGAAAUGUUCUUGUGAAUCAUAGGGCUAAAUGGAUUGGGCUUGUGGAAAUUGAUGCAUUCCUCUAUCAUCCAAGGUUAAAUCUUGUACCAAUUCAUAAAAUCAUGUUUUUAUGUACAAAUAAUCUAAAGAAAGUGUGGGAUUUUAUGUUUUAUGAUAACCAAUGUUUAGGGUUUUGAAAGAGAAGAGGAUAUCAAAUUUCACUUGUAUUACACAUUAGAAUUAGGGAUGGCAAAAAACAUCUACACGCACAUAAAACCUACACGGGUAUGGGUCAUAAAUGACUACUCGUAAAUUUUACAAAUGAGCUUUUAAAAUAUUCGUUGAAUAUACGGGUGAGCAUGAGUAUUACUCAUGUUCACGGGUACUCAUUAUUUAUGUUAUUUAUGUGAUUAUUAUAUUACCUUUAAUUAAAAUAGAGAGUACAUUACCCUAACUUUCACUUACACUAUAUACAUGGCUUGCUUUUAUUUUGUUUAUAUUUUUUUACUUGGUUUAUGUUUAUCUACCUUGUUUACAUCUUUUAUUAAAUUAAAUGGCGAAACACCUACAAAUACCAUUACAUGUGUAGACAUAUAGAUAUCUUGCAAAGAAAAAAAAAAUUUCUCGAGGAAUAGAAUAGCAAAUACAUAAAUAGAAAACCUCAAUCCUAAUUAUAGAUUUAACAUUUUUACUAAAUAUUAAAAUCAAAAGAUACAAAAUAAUUAAGUUUCAUCUUAUGCAAAAUAUAAUAGAAGUCAGAAGUUAGAAAUUCAUUGAUAAUGCAGGAAAUUUGUGCGUAUUCAUUGUACCUGCGAGUACUUAGAAAUACCUGUAAAAAAACCACACGUGAGUACUCACGGAUAUGGGCGAGCAUGAAUAAGUGUAACAUUUUUUUAGAUUAUCAAUCAAUUAAACAUAAAUCAAACAUUCUCCCAUAUAACCUACUUAAAAUGACAUGUGUCCCUCCAAAUAUUUUAAAAUUAUAACUCAUAAAAUCUAGUUUUAUGCAUCACAUUCUAGUAUUUGACGGUACUAAAUUCUACAGUACUGAAAAGAAUCUAAACCCAAUUAAACAUCAUUAAUAUACAACUUCAACUUCUAAGGUAGUCAAGAGCAACUAUACUGGUUGUUCAAUGAGAUAAGAAUAUUUGUACUCUGUUAUCGACUAUAUCAUUCUUAUUUCUUGAUUUUUAUUCUUAUAUAUUUGUCGGGUGUAGCAUAGGAUACAAGUUCCUAAAGGAAUAUAUUAUGCUCUUUUUUAAUUAACACUCAUCAUUAUAGUUAUUUAUAAAAAGGUAAGGGUUUAAAUCAAAAACUGAAUAAAAAUCGAACAAAAAUCAAAUAAAAAUUAGAACUUUAUCCUAAGGACCAUAACCUCAACCCACAUCCCCAUUCCACAUCUAAGAAAACAAACUAAGAGUACCAAUACAAUAGAAGUGACACAAAUCACUAUUUUUAAAUUUAUAAUAUAUUAUAUACAUCAUAGUCCAAUACAAACUUUGUAGUUUGUAUUCGACUAUUCUUCAAUUAUUACUCUAACGUUUCCGAUUUUAAGAGCUAAAGUCACUUGAAACUUUUGCAUUCCAAUUAGAAUUAAAUGUAACACAAUUACCUCGUGCACCUUGUGUCUUUUUUCUAUAAGACUUGAUUUUAACCCCAAAGAUCUUAACAUAACUAAUCCCUUUUAAUAUUAUUAUGAUAAAAUUUGGACACUUUUUAUAUUCAUGGGUCUAAUCACUUGAAAGAUAAAUCCUUUUAGUAUAUAUAUCACAAACUAUUAGUUUCGAAAAGGUGGUAAUCCUUUACUUUUAUAGUGGAACGAUAAUUGGUAAAUAAUAAUUUAUUUUGCUUUCAUCAUUACACGAUUUUCCAAACUUUCAUAUAACCAUAGGCCACAAUUCUUUGUUCUCUCACUUUGCAUAAAUAUUUUCACAUUAUUUUAUCUUUCUCACUGUUUUGCUUAUUUUUUGGGAGAUGGGUUCACCAAACAUCACGUCAAACUUUUAACAUUUUAUAUUAACAGAAUAUACGAUCUAUUUACUUAUAUAAUGAUAUAAACACCAAAAUUAAAAGAAUUUCCUAUUAAUUAAGAAACAAUAAAGGAUUUGAUGUGACACUAAACUCAUAGUUUACACUUUACAAGAUAUUCUAUUCAUUUUAAUUACUAUAAUUGAGUUUUCUAAGUAAAAAGUUUAAUCUAAUAUAUCAAUUACUAACAUAAAAUAUUAUUAUAAAGUGUCAAUGGAGUUGAUUUUAUAAAUAAACGUAUAUAGACAAAAGUCAAAAACUAAAUUUAAAAAUGAAAAAUAAAAUCACCAAGAGGAAAAAGUGACUUUUUAACUAAAAAAAAAGAGGAAAAGUUUGGUAUGAUUAGUUUCCUUUUUCAACAGUAUUUCAAGUUCAAGUUGGCAGUGAUUUUUGCUGUUUGAAUGAAAAACAAAAUCACAAUUACGAAAUCAUUCUCAUUUGGUAAGGCAUAGUACUUUUCAAUACUGUCUUGUCCUGAACUGGAAAAUAAGAGAACAAAAUAGUUGCACCAAAAGGAAGGAAACUAUCAAUUUUAUUAAGUUUUUAAUCCCAAAAAAUUAUGGGUUUUUUUUUAAUUUUAGUCUUUGUAGUUUUUUUGUUUGUUUUCAGCUUCUAAAUUUUAAAAUAUUUUCUUCUAUUUCUUAUUAUUAAUUACAUAGAUGUGAAAAUCGAUAAACCAAUUCGUAUAUCAAUUUGAUACAACAAUUAUAUCGAUCAUGCAAUCAUAUUGAUGAAACUGACUAAAUCUGUUUGUUUACUAAUUAGAAUAUUUAUCAAUGAUAAAAUUACAUGUUAUCAUUUAACUUAAGAUAGGGACUAAAGUAAAAUAUUUUAAAAUUGUAAAGACUUGUUGAGUAUUUCGAGUAUGAAUGAAGAAGUCAUAAGUUAUAGAGCAUAUAAGUGGGUGAACUCAUAGAUCUAAUACCUUAAGGUUUUGGGUCAAGAUGUAGUCUCAAACUCAUUUAUAUGUUUUUUCAGCCCAUUGAAAAAUGUUAUAGCCGAUGGAUGAAGAUCCAUGAGUAUCAGAGUUGAUGAUUCGACGACUCAAUCGAGUAUUGAAGCGACAAGUGAUUGAUAGAUCCAUGAGCAAUUAUUGUGUCAAGUAGUACAUGUUUGAUUCCCCUUAAGCAAGGUAUCGGGUUCGAGUCUUGUUGAUGAAAAAAUAUCUAUUGAAAGAGUUAACCCCACGUACCUGUGGAUGUUCCCGACUUGGACAUGAUUGUCUCCGGUGUGAGGAUACAUAUAAGAAACAAAAAAAUAAUUGCAAUAUAAGAGAGCGUGACAGAACCUGUGAUGUUAAAACGCGCGUGACAUAAAUAAUGGAGAUUUGAAAAGUGAAAAGUGAACACAACAGAAGACAGACGUAGACACAACGUUACCCAACAAAACAAACCUCUGUUGCUAUUGACCAAUGCUACCAUGCGCACGCGGUGUUCACUUUUGUCUCUUUCACCUUAUCCUACGCACCCUCAUUCACUUCUCUUACAAAACAACAGCAACAAAGCUUCUUCAUUUUCUCAUACUUCUCUUUUUGUAUAACCUUUGUUUUUUUCUAUUUGUAUCUUCUUUUCUUAAUGAUCCUUCUUUGUUUUUAACCAUCAUCAACUUUUCCUUUCUACCUCGUAGCUUGUUCCCAUAUCUUUCAUGUGUCACAUUAUUGUAAUGUGUUUCAUCAACUGAAUUAUGUGUCUUUUGGGUGUUCUGAUUCCAAAACAGGUACCAUUUUUGGAAUUAAAAGAUGGGUUCUUUUCAUUUUUCUGAGUUGAUGAGGGAAUGUGAAGUUGAGAAAGAGAGAGAGAGAUUGUAAGAGCUGAAGAAAAAUUGGUUUUUUCCUUUUGGGUUAGUGAUGGAAUGUGAAGUUGAGGCCUAAAAAUUUGUUUUUUUUCCUUUUAGAGUUGAAAAAUUGUUUUUUUUUUUCAUUUUUUGUGUUUGCUUUAAAAUUUUAGAACAAUAUAGAGAGAAGUGUAUUUGUUGAAGAAGCUGGUUUUGUCAUUGUUUUUGGAAAGUGUUGCAAAAAUGAAUGAUUCUACAGUGAAGAAUUUGGCCAUCAUAGAGAAGAAAGCACAUAAACCAGGUGGUUGUGUUGGCAUUUUCUUUCAGCUCUUUGAAUGGAAGAGAAAGCUAGCAAAGAAAAAGCUUUUCUCCAAGAAACUUUUACUUCCUGGUUAGUUUGUAAUUAGUAUCCACAUAUAUUUGACUUGAAUUGCAUUUCUUCAUUGGUUUGUGGAAACUGAUGUUAUUUGUUUGGAUCUUCUUGUUUGUUGAGUUUAUAUCAGCUCGUGCGAAAAAGUUUAAUGGAGAUGAAAAAAUGACAAAUGCCAAGCUCCAUUUGGUAAGUUUUUUUAUGUGCUUUAUGAGAGUUUUUGUUAUGGUUUUUGAUUUGGGUUGUCUUUGAUGUUUAGAACUUGGAAAUUUUGUUUGUUUGGGUAUUGUGGUUAUGUUUAUUUUUCCAAUUGUAGAUUACUAAUGAGAAUAGUGGAGGUUUCCCAAGUGGUAGAAAAUGCGGGAAUCGUAGGUCAAAUGUAGACGAAAAGAGUGAAAUGCAAGCUCCGGGUCUUGUAGCUAGGUUGAUGGGUUUAGAAUAUGUUCCGGCUGUGCAACAAUACAAGUCCAAGAAAGCUUUGGUUUCUGGUAGUGGUAGUGAUGAGGAGAAGGAGGUUUUAGGUGAUAAUUGUCGAUCGGAUAGACAAGGUGUGGAUUUGGAAGUGGGGAUAGUAAAACAUGAUUCAAGACCUCAGAAGCUUCAGAAAAUCGGGACGUGUGAGAAAAUGGCAGUGACUAGGUUUGGAGCAGAAGCCCUGCAAAUUAAGAGUGUUCUAUCACGAGCGAAGAAGAAUAAUCAUCCAAAGCUUGCUUCUCCUUUGAAGAGUCCAAGAAUUAAUUCCGGAAAGAGUGCCUCUCGAAGCUCUCGGUUAAUUGGAGCAGCUACCAAACUUUUGGAACCUGGACUGCAAGCUAGAGGCAGAGCUAAAGAUUGUCUUACAUAUCCUGCUUCCGUGUAUCCUCCGAGGACUGGCAUUGUAACCAAUGGUGUUGGGACAAGCUCAGCAGUUAUAGAAAAUCAAUCUUGUUACAACGCCACCACAGCCAAGACUUCAAUCGGGCACACUUCUUGCAAAAAUUGUGGUAAUUUUCUUGAUGUUGUUGACUGCAAGCCUGAGUUUGAGAGACGGCCAGCUGUUCCUCCGGCUAUUGUCUCAGACACGACCGCUCCUAACUCUAUGGCAUCACCUCAGAAGAAGG
Molecule: long non-coding RNA, 41065 nt
Filed under: Lupinus angustifolius (narrow-leaved blue lupine)
Lineage: Eukaryota; Viridiplantae; Streptophyta; Magnoliopsida; Fabales; Fabaceae
Description: long non-coding RNA (LANG_LNC001484)
Source: RNAcentral